AGGCUGGCCGGUGCAGCUGGUUCGCCCUGUCCGCCAGACAGAAGCGUCGCAAGAGGGAACCCGGUGGGAAUCCGGGACUGCCCCGCAGCGGUGAGCGGGAACGACCGCCGUCAUACGCACUGGGCCCGGCCGGGUCUGGGAAGCGACGGCCAGUAGGAGUCCGCCGGGAGGCCGGCGUACGUGCCCGCGAGUCCGAAGACCUGCCCGCUGUCCGCGCACGAC
Molecule: non-coding RNA, 222 nt
Filed under: Streptomyces uncialis
Lineage: Bacteria; Bacillati; Actinomycetota; Actinomycetes; Kitasatosporales; Streptomycetaceae
Source: RNAcentral